This 497-nucleotide ribosomal RNA is filed under the name uncultured bacterium. RNAcentral's name for it is "partial 16S ribosomal RNA". It matches the Rfam family "Bacterial small subunit ribosomal RNA", at positions 28 to 507 of the family's 1533-position model. The record is from RNAcentral.
GAUGAACGCUGGCGGCGUGCCUAAUACAUGCAAGUCGAGCGAACAGACGAGGAGCUUGCUCCUUUGACGUUAGCGGCGGACGGGUGAGUAACACGUAGGUAACCUACCUAUAAGACUGGGAUAACUUCGGGAAACCGGAGCUAAUACCGGAUAAUAUUUCGAACCGCAUGGUUCGAUAGUUAAAGAUGGCUUUGCUAUCACUUAUAGAUGGUCCUGCGCCGUAUUAGCUAGUUGGUAAGGUAACGGCUUACCAAGGCAACGAUACGUAGCCGACCUGAGAGGGUGAUCGGACACACUGGAACUGAGACACGGUCCAGACUCCUACGGGAGGCAGCAGUAGGGAAUCUUCCGCAAUGGGCGAAAGCCUGACGGAGCAACGCCGCGUGAGUGAUGAAGGUCUUCGGAUCGUAAAACUCUGUUAUUAGGGAAGAACAAACGUGUAAGUAACUGUGCACGUCUUGACGGUACCUAAUCAGAAAGCCACGGCUAACUACGUG